UGGGGAAUAUUGGACAAUGGGGGGAACCCUGAUCCAGCAAUGCCGCGUGUGUGAAGAAGGCCUGAGGGUUGUAAAGCACUUUUAGUGGGGAGGAGGCUUGAUAGGUUAAGAGCUAAUUAAGUGGACGUUACCCACAGAAACAGCACCGGCUAACUCCGUGCCAGCAGCCGCGGUAAUACGGAGGGUGCAAGCGUUAAUCGGAAUUACUGGGCGUAAAGGGUGCGUAGGUUGUUGUGUAAGCUAGUUGUGAAAUACCUGGGCUCAACCUGGGAUGGUCAACUAGGACUGCAUGACUAGAGUAUGGUAGAGGGUAGUGGAAUUUCCGGUGUAGCGGUGAAAUGCGUAGAGAUCGGAAGGAACACCAGUGGCGAAGGCGGCUACCUGGACUAAUACUGACACUGAGGCACGAAAGCGUGGGGAGCAAACAGG
This 429-nucleotide ribosomal RNA is filed under the name uncultured bacterium. Its description in RNAcentral is "bacterial SSU rRNA". It matches the Rfam family "Bacterial small subunit ribosomal RNA", at positions 355 to 776 of the family's 1533-position model. The record is from RNAcentral.